This 325-nucleotide ribosomal RNA is filed under the name uncultured eukaryote. RNAcentral describes it as "partial 18S ribosomal RNA". It matches the Rfam family "Eukaryotic small subunit ribosomal RNA", at positions 1470 to 1796 of the family's 1831-position model. The record is from RNAcentral.
CCCUUAGAUGUUCUGGGCCGCACGCGCGCUACACUGACGAAGUCAGCGAGCAUGUCCUACGCCGACAGGUGCGGGGAAUCUUGUCAAACUUCGUCGUGAUGGGGAUUGAUUAUUGAAAUUCUUGAUCAUCAACGAGGAAUUCCUAGUAAGCGCAAGUCAGCAGCUUGCGUUGAUUACGUCCCUGCCCUUUGUACACACCGCCCGUCGCACCUACCGAUUGAAUGGUCCGGUGAAGCCUCGAGAUUGUGGCCAGCUCGCUUUAUUGGGAGUUGGUUGCGAGAACUUGUCUAAACCUUAUCAUUUAGAGGAAGGUGAAGUCGUAACA